This 2167-nucleotide ribosomal RNA is filed under the name Escherichia coli. RNAcentral describes it as "partial 23S ribosomal RNA". It matches the Rfam family "Bacterial large subunit ribosomal RNA", at positions 795 to 2925 of the family's 2925-position model. Lineage: Bacteria; Pseudomonadati; Pseudomonadota; Gammaproteobacteria; Enterobacterales; Enterobacteriaceae. The record is from RNAcentral.
AAUUAGCGGAUGACUUGUGGCUGGGGGUGAAAGGCCAAUCAAACCGGGAGAUAGCUGGUUCUCCCCGAAAGCUAUUUAGGUAGCGCCUCGUGAAUUCAUCUCCGGGGGUAGAGCACUGUUUCGGCAAGGGGGUCAUCCCGACUUACCAACCCGAUGCAAACUGCGAAUACCGGAGAAUGUUAUCACGGGAGACACACGGCGGGUGCUAACGUCCGUCGUGAAGAGGGAAACAACCCAGACCGCCAGCUAAGGUCCCAAAGUCAUGGUUAAGUGGGAAACGAUGUGGGAAGGCCCAGACAGCCAGGAUGUUGGCUUAGAAGCAGCCAUCAUUUAAAGAAAGCGUAAUAGCUCACUGGUCGAGUCGGCCUGCGCGGAAGAUGUAACGGGGCUAAACCAUGCACCGAAGCUGCGGCAGCGACGCUUAUGCGUUGUUGGGUAGGGGAGCGUUCUGUAAGCCUGCGAAGGUGUGCUGUGAGGCAUGCUGGAGGUAUCAGAAGUGCGAAUGCUGACAUAAGUAACGAUAAAGCGGGUGAAAAGCCCGCUCGCCGGAAGACCAAGGGUUCCUGUCCAACGUUAAUCGGGGCAGGGUGAGUCGACCCCUAAGGCGAGGCCGAAAGGCGUAGUCGAUGGGAAACAGGUUAAUAUUCCUGUACUUGGUGUUACUGCGAAGGGGGGACGGAGAAGGCUAUGUUGGCCGGGCGACGGUUGUCCCGGUUUAAGCGUGUAGGCUGGUUUUCCAGGCAAAUCCGGAAAAUCAAGGCUGAGGCGUGAUGACGAGGCACUACGGUGCUGAAGCAACAAAUGCCCUGCUUCCAGGAAAAGCCUCUAAGCAUCAGGUAACAUCAAAUCGUACCCCAAACCGACACAGGUGGUCAGGUAGAGAAUACCAAGGCGCUUGAGAGAACUCGGGUGAAGGAACUAGGCAAAAUGGUGCCGUAACUUCGGGAGAAGGCACGCUGAUAUGUAGGUGAAGCGACUUGCUCGUGGAGCUGAAAUCAGUCGAAGAUACCAGCUGGCUGCAACUGUUUAUUAAAAACACAGCACUGUGCAAACACGAAAGUGGACGUAUACGGUGUGACGCCUGCCCGGUGCCGGAAGGUUAAUUGAUGGGGUUAGCGGUAACGCGAAGCUCUUGAUCGAAGCCCCGGUAAACGGCGGCCGUAACUAUAACGGUCCUAAGGUAGCGAAAUUCCUUGUCGGGUAAGUUCCGACCUGCACGAAUGGCGUAAUGAUGGCCAGGCUGUCUCCACCCGAGACUCAGUGAAAUUGAACUCGCUGUGAAGAUGCAGUGUACCCGCGGCAAGACGGAAAGACCCCGUGAACCUUUACUAUAGCUUGACACUGAACAUUGAGCCUUGAUGUGUAGGAUAGGUGGGAGGCUUUGAAGUGUGGACGCCAGUCUGCAUGGAGCCGACCUUGAAAUACCACCCUUUAAUGUUUGAUGUUCUAACGUUGGCCCCUGAUCGGGGUUGCGGACAGUGUCUGGUGGGUAGUUUGACUGGGGCGGUCUCCUCCUAAAGAGUAACGGAGGAGCACGAAGGUUGGCUAAUCCUGGUCGGACAUCAGGAGGUUAGUGCAAUGGCAUAAGCCAGCUUGACUGCGAGCGUGACGGCGCGAGCAGGUGCGAAAGCAGGUCAUAGUGAUCCGGUGGUUCUGAAUGGAAGGGCCAUCGCUCAACGGAUAAAAGGUACUCCGGGGAUAACAGGCUGAUACCGCCCAAGAGUUCAUAUCGACGGCGGUGUUUGGCACCUCGAUGUCGGCUCAUCACAUCCUGGGGCUGAAGUAGGUCCCAAGGGUAUGGCUGUUCGCCAUUUAAAGUGGUACGCGAGCUGGGUUUAGAACGUCGUGAGACAGUUCGGUCCCUAUCUGCCGUGGGCGCUGGAGAACUGAGGGGGGCUGCUCCUAGUACGAGAGGACCGGAGUGGACGCAUCACUGGUGUUCGGGUUGUCAUGCCAAUGGCACUGCCCGGUAGCUAAAUGCGGAAGAGAUAAGUGCUGAAAGCAUCUAAGCACGAAACUUGCCCCGAGAUGAGUUCUCCCUGAGACUUUAAGUCUCCUGAAGGAACGUUGAAGACGACGACGUUGAUAGGCCGGGUGUGUAAGCGCAGCGAUGCGUUGAGCUAACCGGUACUAAUGAACCGUGAGGCUUAACCUUACAACGCCGAAG